RNAcentral lists this non-coding RNA (80 nucleotides) under Amphidinium carterae. Lineage: Eukaryota; Dinophyceae; Amphidiniales; Amphidiniaceae. The record is from RNAcentral.
AGGGGGCAGCUGCGGUGCCCUGUACCUUGCAGUGCGGAAUUGUGAGUUCGAGCUCGCGCUGCAGGUUCUACACGGCUCGC